This 816-nucleotide ribosomal RNA is filed under the name uncultured bacterium. RNAcentral's name for it is "bacterial SSU rRNA". It matches the Rfam family "Bacterial small subunit ribosomal RNA", at positions 8 to 796 of the family's 1533-position model. The record is from RNAcentral.
AGAGUUUGAUCAUGGCUCAGAACUAACGCUGGCGGCGCGCCUAACACAUGCAAGUCGAGCGAGAACACCGGGCUUCGGCCUGGGUAGUAAAGCGGCGCACGGGUGAGUAACGCGUGAGUAACCUAUCCCCAAGCUUGGGAUAACAUCGCGAAAGCGGUGCUAAUACCGGAUGAGACCACGAGCUCCCUGGAGCACGAGGUCAAAGAUAGCCUCUUCAUGAAAGCUGUCGCUUGGGGGCGGGCUCGCGUCCCAUUAGCUAGUUGGUAGGGUAACGGCCUACCAAGGCUCCGAUGGGUAGCUGGUCUGAGAGGACGACCAGCCACACUGGAACUGGAACACGGUCCAGACUCCUACGGGAGGCAGCAGUGAGGAAUCUUGCGCAAUGGGGGAAACCCUGACGCAGCGACGCCGCGUGGGUGAUGAAGGCCUUCGGGUCGUAAAGCCCUGUCAAGAGGGAAGAAUGGCUUUCGGGUUAAUAGCCCGUUUGCUUGACGGUACCUCUGGAGGAAGCACCGGCCAACUCCGUGCCAGCAGCCGCGGUAACACGGAGGGUGCAAGCGUUGUUCGGAAUUACUGGGCGUAAAGGGCGCGUAGGCGGUUGGGUAAGUCAGAUGUGAAAGCCCUGGGCUCAACCCAGGAAGCGCAUUUGAUACUGUCCAUCUUGAGUACGGGAGAGGGAGGCGGAAUUCCCAGUGUAGAGGUGAAAUUCGUAGAUAUUGGGAGGAACACCGGUGGCGAAGGCGGCCUCCUGGACCGAUACUGACGCUGAGGCGCGAAAGCGUGGGGAGCAAACAGGAUUAGAUACCCUAGUAGUCC